This 322-nucleotide long non-coding RNA is filed under the name Chinchilla lanigera (long-tailed chinchilla). RNAcentral's name for it is "lncRNA (ENSCLAG00000027081.1)". Lineage: Eukaryota; Metazoa; Chordata; Mammalia; Rodentia; Chinchillidae. The record is from RNAcentral.
GUGAAUAUGGUCUGUCUCUGGAAAGAAUCAAGACAAAUAUUAGUAUUUUUGGAUGACAGUAACUGAAAUUCUAGAGAGUAACACAGCAGGUAAGAGGAGAUUGUGUGUUUAUUUCCUGCAGGAAAAGAUCCAGUAGGAAGAGGUGAGGAAGAGGAGGGACAUGUUCCUGGACAGAAAACAGGCAACAUGGUUGCUGAGGAAGUAAAGCCUGAAGUCAGGGGACUGUCCUACAGGAGUCUCCAUCUCCCCUCCCCGAUUCUUCUUGGAUUGAUAUUUCCUACUCACGUUCCCCACGUCUUCUACACUGUUCUGUGUAGAGCCC